AUUCCGUGAUGAUGGCAUUUUCAUAACAAUUCUUUAAAUCUUUCCCAUGACUCAUAUAAGGACUCGUCAUCCAUCUUUUGGAAGGUAGUAGCCUUAUUUUGCAACU
Molecule: small nucleolar RNA, 106 nt
Organism: Gossypium arboreum
Lineage: Eukaryota; Viridiplantae; Streptophyta; Magnoliopsida; Malvales; Malvaceae
Rfam family: Plant small nucleolar RNA R71
About the family: R71 is a member of the C/D box family of snoRNAs containing the C (UGAUGA) and D (CUGA) box motifs. Multiple nearly identical copies of this snoRNA have been identified in Arabidopsis, and it is thought to function as a 2'-O-ribose methylation guide for 18S ribosomal RNA.
Source: Rfam